Gallus gallus (chicken) is the source of this 1908-nucleotide long non-coding RNA. The record is from Ensembl. Lineage: Eukaryota; Metazoa; Chordata; Aves; Galliformes; Phasianidae.
CCCCAUCAACACCAAACACUUUGUCAUAGCUCUUCCACUUGUCCUGUAAAGCAUUUCUUGUCUUAUUCAAAGAAUCAGCAUCAUAUUCCAGCCAGGUCUUUAGCCUCUCUACAGGGCAGUGCCCUGACACACAAAAAACUCUAGAGCUGAGAGGGUUGAAAAUGAAGAAAAUCAUUAACGUGAGUUUAUCUGGUAAAUUGGCUUCAUGCAUUUCAGCCUGUAAAAUGACAGCAGUGCUGAACCAACACAUGAACAGAGUUGUCACAACCCAUGAUCCAGUUAAUUACUCCUACUGUUGUUGGGCUUAUUUUACUGUUUACUUUUAAGAAAUAUUUUGAAAAUCUUGCAUCCUAUUGUUGACUCUUUAUUCCUAUAAUAAUUUAAACAUUUAAUCAGUUAUCAUUAUUUAAAACAUCUAAUCUAUUACACCUCGAAUGGCAAAUUACCACUGAAGAGGUUACUUUGUUACUUGGCAAAUUAAGACUAAUUUCUGAGACAUAAGUUGCAGUACUUCAUUUGAGAAAGUGUUAAUAAAUCAACUAAAAUCCUUGAAAUAAAAACCAAACAACCAAACAACAUCAAACACCUUCCUGACAUGAUCAUUCCACAUAUACUUAUAACCCUUAUUGUCAUUUCUGAAGCCUUACGAGCAUGCUUCACAAUUCAGGAUGUUGACCCCUCUAAUAUUUGGCAAUUCAGAAUAGGUAAAUGCAUGUUGCAAUAGAAACCAGUUUAAAAAGAAAAGAAAUAUAAUAAUUACUAGGAGUUCUGUACCAGUGCUCUUUGCAAACAGUUGCAAAAAUGACUUCAGUAAAAACAGAAGCACUAUCUUGGUGGUUUUGAAGAGUCACAGGAUGGCAUGCAGCUUAACAGAACAGAUGAACAGCUUUGGGAGAUCAGUAUGUUUGAUAUAUUACUGGGAAAAAGAAAGCAAAGAAGGGUUCUACUCUAAUUAUGACACUUACCUUCAAGAGUACAAUGCAAACCAAUCAACAACACCAACAAAACAGUCAAGGUGAAAUACACUCCUUUCUGCAAGUAUAAAACCAAAACGGACCCAGUCAACUGGAUAACAAGCUAAUAUUCUGCAGUCACAUGAGCUUUAAGCCAGCAAGGUUAGUGAACAUGGACAUAAUCCCACGCACACGUCUGCUACCAUCUAAAACACCAAAAAUAAUUGCCUACUUAGGCUGGGUAUACAUAGGGCUCUUUUCAUUCAGCUGAAGGUGCUGGUACAAUAAAAAUAUAAAAUGACACAUUGGAAGGUGUAGUGUUAAGCCACAGACUGGCACAGAGUGUCAAUACUCACUCGCUGAAAGAUGAAAAACGAAAAGUUUUUGCUCCAGAAAGAACUCCAAGGAAUUUGCAACCCUCCUUCAGAUCUGUGACCUAGAGUCAAAGGCAUCCUUUCCUAUUCCUAAUCAGCUAGGGCACAAAAUUCUCACCCACUAAAAAAUUUCUCCAGAGGUUUCUGGCUGUCAGAGAGUCUGUUUUGUUGACUCUCGCACAUAGCACCUAUUGCCUUGCUAUUUAAACAAGAAUAGCCCUUGAACUGCCAUCAGGCAGCAAGCACUGCAGCAACGUACAUCUGGAUUUUAGGAGUUGAGUUACAGUUUUCUGUGUUCUGCGAAAGGGGUUUUAAAGACAAAACAAAACAGAACAGCACCAGCCAGGAGAAUUAACUCCAAACAUUUAAUUCUUACAGAAUGACUCUUAAGUAUGUUUACAGUCAUUCACAUCUAGAGUUUUUUCUCAUUCUCAUUUCCCGGAACCUUAUUUAAUCUGAAUUCCACGCAGAAAUUUUCAGUGGUGUAUGAAGAUGUAUGCGAACUACUCCAAAUCAUCCAGAUAAAACAAAACAGUAAAUUGAAUGGUAAAGAAACUAUAGCUGCCAAAUAAUAUCUGAAC